Molecule: long non-coding RNA, 537 nt
Organism: Neopelma chrysocephalum (saffron-crested tyrant-manakin)
Lineage: Eukaryota; Metazoa; Chordata; Aves; Passeriformes; Pipridae
Exons: 2
Source: RefSeq, a predicted model, not a curated record
AGAAAAGCUCAAAAAGUUUAGCAAACAUACACCAGUUACAAAAUUAGGCAUAAAUCUUGGAGCCGCUGGACCCUCAAUAGUACUCUGAAGUACUUUGUUCCUUUGUCUGCUUAAGUGAGACAUAUGUCACCAUCAAUAUUGCUAUCCCUAAAAAUAUACUGCUCCAUUACCUCCCUGAUGAAGGAAGAAGAAAACACAUGCCUUUCCUUCAGCAACAGGCCUCCUGACAGAUUCCAGCUGUCCUGCUUUGACGGAAGCUUUCAAGGAUCAAAGAAAAGAUCAAACUGGAACUGGAAAUAAACGUCUCAGUGUUUUUAUACUCCCUUCAUCUUGAUUUCAUAGGGGUGUAACUGAUGAAAUCUGAGGCAAACCAGACAGGAGUCAGCCCAAACACACGGAUUUUAAUCCUCUUUCUGAAUUUUACUUUCUGUUGCCUACUGGAACUGGUCCUGGAAUGCAGGCAGGGCUCCUGAGUCUAUCUGUUCCUGGUGAAUUCUGCUCAUCUGUUGAAAAUUAAACUGUCCUAUUCAGACACUG